GUGAGGAAUAUUGGUCAAUGGGCGAGAGCCUGAACCAGCCAAGUCGCGUGAAGGAAGAAGGAUCUAUGGUUCGUAAACUUCUUUUGCAGGGGAAUAAAGUGCAGGACGUGUCCUGUUUUGUAUGUACCCUGAGAAUAAGGAUCGGCUAACUCCGUGCCAGCAGCCGCGGUAAUACGGAGGAUCCGAGCGUUAUCCGGCUUUAUUGGGUUUAAAGGGUGCGUAGGUGGUUUGAUAAGUCAGCGGUGAAAGUUUGCAGCUUAACUGUAAAAAUGCCGUUGAAACUGUCGGACUUGAGUGUAAAUGAGGUAGGCGGAAUGCGUGGUGUAGCGGUGAAAUGCAUAGAUAUCACGCAGAACUCCGAUUGCGAAGGCAGCUUACUAAGCUACAACUGACACUGAAGCACGAAAGCGUGGGGAUCAAACAGGAUUAGAAACCCCAGUAGUCC
Molecule: ribosomal RNA, 445 nt
Filed under: uncultured bacterium
Lineage: Bacteria
Description: partial 16S ribosomal RNA
Rfam family: Bacterial small subunit ribosomal RNA
Source: RNAcentral